Molecule: long non-coding RNA, 273 nt
Filed under: Gallus gallus (chicken)
Lineage: Eukaryota; Metazoa; Chordata; Aves; Galliformes; Phasianidae
Description: lncRNA (ENSGALG00010011302.1)
Source: RNAcentral
CAGACCUCUUCACAGCACUUGGCUUAUGGUCCAGAUUUCAAGUGCCAGUUACCCAGAAACACUAAGCAUAUGCUUUUGGAACAGGCAGAAGAGGUUCAACAGGACUCAAAGAAGUAAUAAUCACUGGGAGCAACAAAUUCAGUUAUGAUGUGGAAAAUCUAAAUAGGAAAUGACUAUUUCUCCCAGGAGCUCUACUUUGUUCUUGCAGGAGGGAGCUCAGUGUAAUUAUCAGGCAGUAGAACUGAAAAUAAGCAAAAUAAAUGACUUCUUAAC